Neopelma chrysocephalum (saffron-crested tyrant-manakin) is the source of this 332-nucleotide long non-coding RNA. RefSeq lists it as uncharacterized. NCBI's taxonomy places the organism in Eukaryota, Metazoa, Chordata, Aves, Passeriformes, Pipridae. The transcript is spliced from 3 exons. The record is from RefSeq and is a predicted model, not a curated record.
GGGAGAUGCCCCUGCCGUGCCCUGACCUCCCUCCUCCCUCCUGGCAUCCCUUUUCCCAGAUAAAAGAGCCCUUUUCAUCAUCUGCACCUCGGAGCUGGGACCCCAAAUCUACGAGCUGGUGGCCCUGACGUCCUCGGAGAAAAACACAUGGAUGGAGCUGCUGGAGGAGGCCGUGCAGAGUUCCACCAGGAAUGCCACCUUCCCCCCCAAGCGCCGGACGGCAGAACCCACCGGCACGGCCCCCACGGGGCUGGUGCUGCAGGACCCCGACGUGUCCCCGGAGCUGUCCCGGGGCUCGGGAGCGGAGCUGGAGCCGGAGGAUUGUUCCUCGG